UAAGGUGCAUCUAGUGCAGAUAGUGAAGUAGAGUAGAAUCUACUGCCCUAAGUGCUCCUUCUGGC
Molecule: microRNA precursor, 65 nt
Filed under: Scyliorhinus torazame (cloudy catshark)
Lineage: Eukaryota; Metazoa; Chordata; Chondrichthyes; Carcharhiniformes; Scyliorhinidae
Description: Sto-Mir-17-P2a_pre stem-loop
Rfam family: mir-17 microRNA precursor family
About the family: This family represents the microRNA (miRNA) precursor mir-17, family, which includes mir-20, mir-91, and mir-103. miRNAs are transcribed as ~70nt precursors (modelled here) and subsequently processed by the Dicer enzyme to give a ~22nt product. In this case the mature sequence comes from the 3' arm of the precursor.
Source: RNAcentral